RNAcentral lists this ribosomal RNA (389 nucleotides) under uncultured bacterium. RNAcentral's name for it is "bacterial SSU rRNA". It matches the Rfam family "Bacterial small subunit ribosomal RNA", at positions 69 to 449 of the family's 1533-position model. The record is from RNAcentral.
GCAUGGUCUUAGCUUGCUAAGGCUGAUGGCGACCGGCGCACGGGUGAGUAACACGUAUCCAACCUGCCGUCUACUCUUGGCCAGCCUUCUGAAAGGAAGAUUAAUCCAGGAUGGGAUCAUGAGUUCACAUGUCCGCAUGAUUAAAGGUAUUUUCCGGUAGACGAUGGGGAUGCGUUCCAUUAGAUAGUAGGCGGGGUAACGGCCCACCUAGUCAACGAUGGAUAGGGGUUCUGAGAGGAAGGUCCCCCACAUUGGAACUGAGACACGGUCCAAACUCCUACGGGAGGCAGCAUUGAGGAAUAUUGGUCAAUGGGCGAUGGCCUGAACCAGCCAAGUAGCGUGAAGGAUGACUGCCCUAUGGGUUGUAAACUUCUUUUAUAAAGGAAUAA